AGAGUUUGAUCAUGGCUCAGAUUGAACGCUGGCGGCAUGCCUUACACAUGCAAGUCGAACGGCAGCGCGGGGCAACCUGGCGGCGAGUGGCGAACGGGUGAGUAAUAUAUCGGAACGUACCCUGGAGUGGGGGAUAACGUAGCGAAAGUUACGCUAAUACCGCAUACGAUCUAAGGAUGAAAGUGGGGGAUUCGCAAGAACCUCAUGCUCCUGGAGCGGCCGAUAUCUGAUUAGCUAGUUGGUGGGGUAAAGGCCUACCAAGGCAUCGAUCAGUAGCUGGUCUGAGAGGACGACCAGCCACACUGGAACUGAGACACGGUCCAGACUCCUACGGGAGGCAGCAGUGGGGAAUUUUGGACAAUGGGCGAAAGCCUGAUCCAGCAAUGCCGCGUGAGUGAAGAAGGCCUUCGGGUUGUAAAGCUCUUUUGUCAGGGAAGAAACGGUAUGGGCUAAUAUCCCGUACUAAUGACGGUACCUGAAGAAUAAGCACCGGCUAACUACGUGCCAGCAGCCGCGGUAAUACGUAGGGUGCAAGCGUUAAUCGGAAUUACUGGGCGUAAAGCGUGCGCAGGCGGUUUUGUAAGUUUGUCGUGAAAGCCCCGGGCUCAACCUGGGAAUUGCGAUGAAGACUGCAAGGCUUGAAUCUGGCAGAGGGGGGUAGAAUUCCACGUAGCAGUGAAAUGCGUAGAGAUGUGGAGGAACACCGAUGGCGAAGGCAGCCCCCUGGGUCAAGAUUGACGCUCAUGCACGAAAGCGUGGGGAGCAAACAGGAUUAGAUACCCUAGUAGUCC
RNAcentral lists this ribosomal RNA (791 nucleotides) under uncultured bacterium. Its description in RNAcentral is "bacterial SSU rRNA". It matches the Rfam family "Bacterial small subunit ribosomal RNA", at positions 8 to 796 of the family's 1533-position model. The record is from RNAcentral.